UAGUGCACAAUGGGGGAAACCCUGAUGCAGCGACGCCGCGUUAAGGAAGAAGUAUUUCGGUAUGUAAACUUCUAUCAGCAGGGAAGAANNUGACGGUACCUGACUAAGAAGCGCCGGCUAAUUACGUGCCAGCAGCCGCGGUAAUACGUAAGGGGCAAGCGUUAUCCGGAUUUACUGGGUGUAAAGGGAGUGUAGACGGCAGUGCAAGUCUGAUGUGAAAGCCCGGGGCGCAACCCCGGGACUGCAUUGGAAACUGUGCAGCUAGAGUGUCGGAGAGGUAAGUGGAAUUCCUAGUGUAGCGGUGAAAUGCGUAGAUAUUAGGAGGAACACCAGUGGCGAAGGCGGCUUACUGGACGAUAACUGACGUUGAGGCUCGAAAGCGUGGGGAGCAAACA
Molecule: ribosomal RNA, 395 nt
Filed under: uncultured bacterium
Lineage: Bacteria
Description: bacterial SSU rRNA
Rfam family: Bacterial small subunit ribosomal RNA
Source: RNAcentral